UACGAAGGGGGCGAGCGUUGUUCGGAUUUACUGGGCGUAAAGGGCGCGUAGGCGGCCCUCCUAGUCGCGUGUGAAAGCCCCGGGCUCAACCUGGGAACGGCGCGCGAAACGGGGGGGCUGGAGUUCGGGAGAGGAGCGUGGAAUUCCCAGUGUAGAGGUGAAAUUCGUAGAUAUUAGGAAGAACACCGGUGGCGAAGGCGGCUCUCUGGAACGGUACUGACGCUGAGACGCGAAAGCGUGGGGAGCGAACAGG
This 253-nucleotide ribosomal RNA is filed under the name uncultured bacterium. RNAcentral's name for it is "partial 16S ribosomal RNA". It matches the Rfam family "Bacterial small subunit ribosomal RNA", at positions 524 to 776 of the family's 1533-position model. The record is from RNAcentral.